CGGGCGGCCGUGACCCUGCUGGAGUCCGGGGGGGACCUCCAGCCCCCCAGGGGGUCCCUGCGCCUCCUCUGCCGAGGGGAUGGAUUCACCUUCGGGAAUUUCGACAUGUUCUGGGUGCGCCAGAGACCCGGGAAGGCGCUGGAAUUCAUCGCAGGGAUCUGGAGCAAUGGUUGGAGCACCUGGUACGCGCCGUCGGUUCAGGGCCGGUUCACCAUCGCCAGGGACAACGGGCAGAGCUCGGUGACGCUGAGCAUGAACAACCUCCAGGACGAGGAUUCCGGGGUUUAUUUCUGUGCCAAAUGUUACACCAGUGGUUGUUUUGGCCUUUAUGGUUGGGCUGCUGCUGCUGUUGGUUUUGGUGACGAUGUCGCUGAUGGCCACAUUCCCCAUGCCGGAUCCCCAAAUGUCCAAGGGGAAAACCUGGGCUUUGGGGUGAAUCCUGGGGUGUAG
Poecile atricapillus (Black-capped chickadee) is the source of this 450-nucleotide non-coding RNA. NCBI's taxonomy places the organism in Eukaryota, Metazoa, Chordata, Aves, Passeriformes, Paridae. The record is from the annotation of a RefSeq genome assembly.